CUUUGUCACUUAACUACCUUGAACUACAGUUCCCAGGAGCCCAUGGGCUGAGGGUCAGCGGCUCAAUGCCCUUAUCAGCCAAACACCUUCAGCAGGUUUGCAGCCUGAAGGGUGUGGAGUUGUUUGUGUUGUAGGGUGGGAUGUGAAGCUUUUGUUGUUGGGCUGCUUUGUGCAAGCUUUCACUUGAACUCCGGUGCAACAUGAGGUGAAGGUCUGUGUUGCUUUGCACCCCCUGAGAAUCUGCCAGAGUGUAAGACUUGACAUUAAAAAGGAGCUGGUGCAAAUAUGAAGCUGUGGUUUUUGUCAUUUCUAUCAAGUCUACGGUAGAACUGAUAGUCUGCAUGGGAAAUGCUGACCCGCUGGAGAAGACACCACAGGGCAAAGUUGUGCGUGGGGACUUGUGGGUCUGACUGUGAAUGGGAGAGAGGAAGAGGAGAAGGUCCUGCCUGAAGAGCUCAGCAUGCGUGUUGACCUUAAUACUGGACACAGCAGUGAUUGGAUUACAGCCAGCCACCAUUAGGAGAAGGUGCAAGAGUUACUAUGCGCAGCUUUUUCUGAGCGAAGAAAAUGCCUCCAAGGCAUGGCAGCUGUGAAGCACGGUACAGAAGAGGAAUAGGUCCUUGGUUCAAUUCAAACCCCCCUGAGCUUGAGGCCACAUGCUAUACUGAAGUAUUCAAUUCCGCAUUUGAAUAAACUGAAUAAAUCCAGCCAUACUGCUAAACAUAUGGAGUAUGAGAGUGCAGUGGGGGACAAAUACUACUGGCCUGCAUUGGAAAGAUCAAGAGCUUGAAGAUGUGUUUGGCUGUGCCUCAGGUGUCUCAUUUGGAUCCAGUGCUCCAUUCUUCACCACCUGCCUCCUACCUUAGAGUCUCACCUGAAUCUGAACAUAUGCCAACACCUGGAGAAGUAACUACAGCAGUUUGAGUCUGGACAGAGCAGGAAUUACAGUGACGAGUGACUCAAUAAGGAGGGUUUUCAAAGAGAUGGGAGAGCAGCCAUUGCCGUUUCCACCUUCUGCUGUUCUGUGUGCCAUGAGCUCCAGGAGACAGCAGGGACACAUGUCCCAUGGGGACACCCCUGAGCCUCCAGCCCUGGGGUGCCUGCUUUCAGAAGGUAACUCCAAAAAGGUCAAAAAUGAGUCACUGGAGUUUAUCGGCACAAAGCGCUUCCUCACAGCCCCGUUGCAAUUGCCUUGGUGGACUCUGGCAGCGUUAUUGCUGUGUUGGCAGAUGACAAGGUUCUCAACUCAUCGUAGCAGUAUUUAGGAGGACAGCAAGUGUCUGUGCUGGAGAGCCUGUCUGCUGCCCACCUUUCCUCCAGACAGUGUGCAAAGGCCUGCCGGAGCUUAAAUAAAUACUAAUUUGCAGUAAUGGCAUUUAAUCCUCUUCAAACCAUAAUUUACAGUAUCAGAUUAUUAUCAUAAUAUCUGAUCUACUGUUCGUAAUGCUUUAUUGUUAUCCCAUUACAGGGAGUUCUGCUGGCACUGCAUAUUGUCUAUUUCUCUUACAAAUGUUCUACAGAAACCUUAUUAAUUAUUAGUCUCAUAAAACACCUGUUAAUGUUACCAUUUUAAUAAAUCUCCUCCUUAAUUAAAUUAGGUGGUUCUGAUAGUAAGCCUCUAAUGUCCAGUGCCUUUCUGUUCUCCUCACAGUCUGAUUGUAGAGUGGGAAGCAGUGUUCAAUUAUAAUUGAUGUAGGCCAUAAUUCAGAACCAAAUUAUAACAUAUAAAGCCAUAUGAUCAUUGAGGAAUAUAAUAGAUCUCCACACUGAAGUGUCAUUUGGAUUGAUUAGUGCUGUUUCUAGAGCCUUGUUAGAGGUGAGAAAAGGCUUAAUUCAAAAGGAUCUUUUUUUUUUUUUUUUUUUGCUUUUCUUUUUCUCUCUUUUUGUCUUAAAUUCAUGUACUCUAUUCCUUCCUUGAUACAUAGUAUCUAAUUCAGGCACUUUGGUGUACUGUUCACACCACCUACUUUCCCACUUUCGUUUCAGUUCUAAAGCUGACCUUUUUUUUUUAUUUUAUAAAGGCAGACUACAUGAUGAUUUUAUUUAAUGAUUUAAUAAAACUUUCCCUCCUGAGAAAGGUGCAAGAAAUCUUGCUGAUCUAUUACUGCUGCUAACCAAGCAUGAAAGUACCGUUAUAUAUGAUACAGCAAUACUAAAGCUAUAAGCAAAAAAUUAAAAGUACAUCAGAAUGAAGACCUUACCCUCCCUGGAAAGUUGAUGAGGCACCAGGAAGAUUUAGCACACUGGAGCAAACGUGCUGCUCACUUGGGUGCGGGUUGGUUCCCCUCUGCUAGGGAAGGUCUCAGGAGAAACCUGCCCUGGAAACCAUGCCGGUGCUCACCCAGAUCCUGUUCCCAUGUGGCCUCUGAGCACCUCUCAGCCUUGGCUGCUGCUUUUCAGCUUUGUCAGCAGAGAUGUGAUGUGUUUUAUGGGCUUAGCGAUGUUCUCUUAUCUUGCAGGAAACCCUAAAGCAAAGAGCAGAGCUUUUCCAGGACCGUGGUGAGAACUGGACUCUUAGCUCUCUAGGCUUUUUCUCUUACUGGGGAAAGUGUCUGUUUUACAUCACUUCCCUACCUGCCUCCCCUCCCGUUGUACUCGUUUGCCUUCCUCAUGACAGUUAUGGUCAUUUUUUGCUCAGGAAAGAAAUGCAGCAAAAUGUUAUGUGUGGUUUUAAUUGAUUUUAAUACAACUUAGAAGCUUAAGUUGUAGCAGUUCCCACUCAGGCUCCCCCGCUUUCCCUGGGCAUGUGUGUUUCCUCCCCUCCCACUCCUCCUUGCUUGUGGGCUUUGGUAUCCAGCCCCCUCAACAGGCUAUUGACUUCUUCUUGCCCAAUUUCAUUAGCGUGCAUCCCAUCUCUCCCCAGUAAUCCUUAGUUCUCAAAGAGGAGCCUGUGGUUGCAAUUUCUGAAUCAUUUGUGAAUCAAACGAAAGGAUACCAUGGCUACUUUGUAGGUGAGCUGACCCUUUAGAAACAUAACAACCACACCAAAACAACAACCCGAAAGUCUUUGCUUUUCUUUCUUUUAAAACUGAAUUACACACCAAAAACAUUUUGAAGAGAAAAAACUGCAAGCUUCAUUUGGGAGAUAUGAAAUAUUUUGACUUUUUAAAAAUGAAGGAUUUUGGUGUGUUUGGGCUACUUGCCGCGUGGUUUCCCACAGUGGAAAAAAAUAUUUUUCAUGUUUUUUUUUCCACGUUUGCACACAACUUGCUGAAAUUGUUGUUUUGAUGCCUUCUGCAGUAUUAGUCUUGAUUGUUCAUUUGCUCAGCCCCAGAUCUAUUGGCUUUGGGGUUUGCAUUCCUGCCCUAUGUGUAUCCACACUAUAUGCCCUUUCAGGCAGGGACUGAAUAGGGACAGAAGAUAAGGACUUCAAUCUGAAGUGAUUGAAAAGAAGAAAUAAGUGGAAAUCCAUGGAAAGCAACUGUAAAAUUUGGACUAUGAAAGGGUUGCAGGCCUGCAGGAAUUCGUCAGGAGCAGAUUCGGCAGCUGAGGCUUGUAAUGAGACAUCAGCUCCUGGUGCACACUGUGGAUCUUCCUGUGGGAACCAGACGAUGCCUGUUUGUCUGUCCCUUCCCAGCACUGAGCAGAAGAUCCCCCAUUCACUUGCUCACAAUGUGAUAAUUGACAGUGAGUUUCCUGGAGCUGAAUACUGCCUGCCCGAGGUCAGCGUCUGCUCUUCCAUCUUGCCUUCCUUUGGCGCCCGAUAUGAACCCCCAGCAUCAAGUGAUCGAGGGAGUCCUCCAAGCUAAGGAGCCUUUUUGUUGCUAAGAGACGACUUCUGGAGGAGCAACAGUCAUUAACACGUUGGGAGUGGGCAUUUUUUGAGCUGUCACACAUUCCUGCCAGGAGAAGAGAGGCAGGGCAUGGAGUCACUCUUGUCCCAAGCAUACUGCACUUCGUGCCUCACCCACCCCAAAUAAUUCUUUGGACCAUUUAACAUCAAUAAAAUCACACCUGUGGGCCCUUUGCAAAAAACAGUGUGUGACUUUUGCCCCUGGAGGCCUGAUCCUGCCCAGUACACCUUCCUGGCCAGGAGGAAGCUCCUUGACUGGUGGGCUGAGAGUGAUCCUGGCGAGCGGAAGGAUGUAUGUGAACUGGUACGCAAGCAGAAAAUGGACAAGGUUGAUGUGACUGACCUUCAGUGUUGAAGCCUGGUCUUUCCUGUCAUUCAAGAUGGCUAUACAGGAAGAAAAGUCCCAGGCUGGGAUCGUCCCUGGAGGAGAAGUUGCCUAUCUAUGGUCUCUGCCCUGGGCAGCUCCCUGCCACAGCUUGUCACCCUGCCUCUCGCUAGCAAGCUCCUGUGAAACCUUGAAAGCUGUGUCACCUCUCAGGAGUAGAGGUCCCGAGGCAGGCAAGGAAAGCUGUAAUUCCAGAUGUCUUCACAUCAGGCCAGCUGCUGUACACCUGUCCAGCAGCCCUUCAUGCCACUGGGAUCUGCUGCCAUCCAUCUCACCUGGCACAAAUCUCCUGAGGCAAACCACCUACUUAAACAAAUUUGAAGGGCUGCCCGUGAGCUCCUGCCAUCCUUUUGUGUCUCCCUGAGUGUCUGAGCUCCGAAACCGAAGAGAGCAGAGGGGCCAGAAGGAGCCCAGCCCACACCAGUAGAAGGGAGUGGAAGUGGUCCUGUUGGAUGAGGAGGAGACUUGCAGUGUCUGAUCCCUGGGAGCUGCCAUCAGCCCAUGGUUUUGUGGGUCUCGCCAUCCAUGUGAGAACAUGACGCUGCUCAAGGAGUGAGGCACAGGUGGGACUUUGGUGAUGAAAAAGCAAAACCACAGCAGUUAAGGUUUGUCAUGAGCAAAAUGCAGCCACCUGCAAGAGUGUCCAGAAGAUGAAAAGCUGGUGCAGAACGAGAGAGUCCUGCCAUGAAAUGCAAGUAAAUUAAUGGAUGGUUUUUAUUUUGAGUUUACUGAAACUUUCAAAAUUUCCAGUUCUGACAGGACUUCAAAUGGAAGUUCCAGUUGUCUCCUCCCCACUUCACUUUCUCCUCAAUCUCCUCUCUCCCUCUCACACCAUGUUUUUUUUGAUGUUAUUAACAUGUAAAUUAAGCUUAUUUAUAGAAAGUAACAUCUUGUCAAAUUGACAAGUGUUAUUUAUGACAAGAGUUUGGGCUAGGAGGUGUUUCUGUUUCCACAAUUGCUGUUGUUCCUGGGGAUGGAAACAUCACCUUGCACAGUGCUUAUCUGGGUGCUUGCAAUGCAUUUAGCCUCAGUUCACUCACAAAUACACAACUGGGACACCGUGCUGUGUGUAACCAUCAGUGUCUGUGCAGGGUCUCUCCAGGUCCUACCAAAGCUAGCAGAUGAUUCGCUUUGUUGCUGCUACUGGAAUCAAGUUUGAACCGGUGUGUUGCAUAGCAACCCUAAAUUAUUAUUUGAACCCUCAAAAAGGUAUUAAUGCAACUCAUGAAUAAACAGAGUUUGUCUCCCUCCUGUUUAUAUAUUUUUUUAAUGCCAUUCCCCAGCCGAGUGAAGGCUUUUGUCUUUCCAAACAAUAAAAUUCAAGUUAUUGCCAGAAGACUGGUAGCUCUUGUUCAGUGGCACAGUGGCUGUAAUUAGUCUUUUCCAGUGCAUUCUUAAAUUUCAAUUUAAGGAGGACUUGACUUUAGCUUUUUGCUCACUAUUCACAGCUGACCAGGCUCAGCUCCCACUUGUAAAAUGGGUUUCUUGCCAAGUGUUAGAAAAGGGAUGUGUUUCAGGUGUGGGUGUUUCCUAUGUGGAUCCUCAUUCUCAGAUGGAAAACACUUAGAGCUUGUCUGUCUUCACUUCUUCUAGGAAAAAUCAUGCCUGAAAGCAAGGGUUAUAUUUUGCCUUUUUCUCCUACUCUUUGAAAGCUGUCAGUACUAAUUUAAUUAGUUGGUGCAUAUAACAGUUUAUAAUUUCCAAGUCUAAUGUAUUAUAAUGUUGUUUAUGCCGAUUUGAUGAUUAAAGGCCUUGUCAGAGUCUUUUUAUCACCCUUAAAAAAAAAAAGCUUUUGUUGUUAUGCAAAUGAGACAUACCAGAUUAAGGAGGCUUAUUUUACCUGAACAGGUAGUUACAAUAAUUUUCUGUAAUCUUGUUGUCCUAUUUUCGUCUGCAGUGCCCUUGUCUUGCUCUGCAAGGUAACUCCUCACUGGGAGCAGCUCUGUCAUGUGGCACUGUGGCUCUGCCCAGCUCCUGUCCACCCACGCUCACUUUUCCGUGACCUGUGAGCCCUAUCCACCCUCAGAAGGUCCCUCCCCAGCUCUGUGCCUACUAAUGGGGACACUCAGAGCUUCUCCUGCAGCAUGACCCUCUUGCACAGAGUUCCUCAAGGAUGCUCCCAAUGCUCCAGUCCAACUGCGGGUCCCCAGGUUGUUCAGUGCAGGACCCAUGACCAGCUGGGAGCCCAUGCCUAAAUCACAGUGUGUCCAGAGGCAAAAAGCCCAGUUUGGAGGCUGAGGGAGCUCCUUGCCUCUCUGCUGACGUAGGCAGUGCCGGUGGGUAUGACCAUGCCCAGCAGAGAGGUGCUGCCAUCCUUGGGCUCAUGAGUCUUCCCAAGUUGCCCUUCCCAGAGACCAUGGAGCCUCCACCAGGAUUAAUUCCCCAGUCUCCUUGCAAGAAGGAACAUCUCCACUUUGCAGCAGAGUUGGACUGAAGAGCCAGUCAGAUCAUAACAGGGCCGCUCUCUCCUUGCCCUGAGCAGCGGCCAGGCAGGGAGACAGACUGUCUUAGUCUUGUUUGGCCUCUGCGGUGUGAUCUCUUCAGGACACUCAGCAGAUGCUGCAGUCUCCCAGAUGUGCGAGUUGGAGCUGUGCUGGCCCUUCCUCAAACCCUCGAGCAGCCCCGAGAGUGACCCCCUUCCCCACCAACACCUCCUGGGACCAGCAAAACCGGGGCUGUUUACCUGUCAGCAUGGUGGAGAUGACAAGAGCACCUUCAAUCGCACAAAGAUGCUGAGCCACCUGGAUUUUUGAGCUUACUGUGCAUAAAAAGGCUGUUUUCACAGAGAUCGCUGGUUAAACUUUCAAUGGAUAAGAAGAGCUGGAACUUAACUGAGGCCUCACAGACCAUUUCCAGUGCUUUUUUGCAAUGCUGCUUGAACCGAAGUUCAUGGCCACUGACAUCUGUGGGGCUCAGCUGUAAUCCGUCUUGCUCAAAUAAAUGGGAGGAAGCAGCUCGUGCCCUGGAGACCCUGCAGAUGAUGGGGAGCAUCAUCCCCUGGCCAUGCCGCUGCAGCUUAGCCCGCUUGCCUGUCUCCCCACCCCAGGUCUGUAACAAGGUGUGACAAAUAGGUGCCAUUACAGUCCUUAACCAACUGAGGAAGGUAGUGCCGCCAGUCCUGGGCCCUGUUUAGCAGCUCAGAGGAGACAGCAGCAUUUAGCAAACGCUGGAAGAAGCUCUACAUGCACCCGUGUACCGUCCUCACCUCUGCCAAGCCAUGGUGGGUGAUGUUCUCAAGUGAGAUCUAGGGCAGUUCAGUCCCCAAAUACUCAAGGAGAACUCAUCAUCUUCAGGAGAAAAGAAAAUACCACCUUAAAACUCAGUGCUGUUUCCCUUGAAGCCUGACAACUAACUAGCCGUCUGCACCGUGCUUAAUUCCCAGGGAGGCUCUAAAUCACCGCAAGCGCAGCAGCGCCGUGCAGCGUCCUCAUCCUCAUGGACCUGUCACCUGGCGGUGAGGCAGCCAAGAGGCGUAUGGAGACAUGGGCUCGUGCAAAAUGGGCAACCACGACAUGCUGAGAAGAUGCGAACAUCUGCACACCAGCACCAAAAUAUGCAGCCUACCCAGUCCUGGCUUUUCACUGAGUGGGAGUUCUUGAUUUUGGGACCUGCCACCCAGCAGGGGUGAGGAACAGGCGAAAUGUCACAGCCCUGACCAGAAGGACGUUGUUUACUAUCGCUACCCACUUCUGCACUGCUGACAGACAGGACUCAGACAGCAGAAGGGCUGGAGGAGGCUGCUCUUCUGCUGGAGCAGAUAGAAGUAAUUAGUGAAAUCACUGCGGCGCCGAGAGGGACGCUGGCCCAACUCCCAUCAGGCAGCAAAUGACUCAUUGCAUAACAACUUCAGUAAAGGGGGACUUUUUUUUUCCUCUCUUCUGCUCUCAGCAAGGAAACAAAGAGCUGAAUCUUUUGAAAGGCCACCAAAGCUCUUGUUUGGGGGCUUCACCUCACAGGUCUCCUAAGGCCACUUGAGAAAGUCAUCAGGGAAUAGAUGUCGUCAGCUGUCACCCCGGUAGGGAUGGAGACCAAAACCAUUGCUACCUCUUCAGGCAGCGUAGAAAUUGUGAUCAGCUGGUGAAUUGUUAGUCACCAGCCUGACUGACCCAUUUGCACCAUGUGUGGACCAACCAGUGCUGCAUCCUGCAGGAUUAAGGCAGCCCUGGAUGCUCACCCCCUCUGACCACCCAAGCCCUUGAACCCCUCCUUGUCCAUGCCAACCGUGGGGUAGCACACAGCAAGAACAUGACCAUCGUGCAGCCCUCAGGCUGGAAGAACUUUUUCCCAACAAGCAGAAGCAAAUAGAAAAGUGCUCUUCUGCUUUCUGCAUCACUUUCAAGCAAGUGGCAAGCAGUAAGCAUCGUGUUUCCUCACAGUUGGCCACUUCAGCUGAGUUUUGCCCACUGCUGUGCUUCACCAGAUACCCUUGCAAACAUCUUCUGCACUACAAGAGGUGGAGUUUGCCUGUCCCACCGUGUGCCCUUCCUUACCAGUUCAGAAAGCAGAUGAGAAAUAACUACAAGAAGAAUUAAGCUUGAAUGAGUGGAAGUUAGCGAAACAUGAGCCAUGCCUUGCUGGUCCUUCGCAAGAUCGCUUUGCCAGAGAAGAAAGAAAUGCCACAGUGUGACAGCUCCUCCUUCCCGGCCGGGCUGGCGGCAGGAAAGGCAAGGAAUGGGCCAGGGCACCUGCCGUGCCCGAAAGCAGCAGCCAGUGGAUUUAAAAGACUGCCAAGUGUCCGGAACUGCUGGUGCUCAGCUCAGCCCCAGCGUUGCCAGGGAAGGGACAAGCAGAGCUGGAUCUGGCCAACCCUUCGCCUUCUGCUGACGUGUCCUGUCUACAUGGGAAUCAGUGGCUGUCCUCGCUCCGUCGGCAGGGAAAGGAAAACCCCCAGCAGUGGAGGGAUUCACGUGGAAACACAAAGCAAACCCACGUCAGAGACCUGGGAAAUUCCUGCUCUUCUCCACCAUGUCAGAGUGUCUUGAAAGAUUUCCUUUCACAGCACUGGCUAUUUGCCCCCCGCCUUAAGGACAGGGUCUGCAGCCAGCCUGGUCUCCUCCCCACGUUUCAACCCUGAGCAUCCUUGGAGGACGCGCUAAGGACAGCUGGCCUGUGCAGCCAAAGUGACACAUGUCCAAAAGGAAGGGGCAAGCACAAGGGACACACCUGGAGGUAACCCAGGAGCAAGAGGAGCAGCUGAGGGCAGACCAGUGACUCCCACUGCUUGGCCCCUUGUCUCUGCAGUGCUGCCAGUCAGCUUGACCUCAAGGCCUUUUCAGCACCUAAGCCAUCAUCAGCUCCUAGAUGCCUAAACAGCCGGUUUUUGAGCUGCUUGAGGAGAGGAAUAUCUUGACGAAACUGGGCAGUGGCAGCAAAAAGUGAAGGUCCAAGGACAACUCGCCCAGGAGUCCCAUCUGGAGAAAGUGCCACCAGCGCUGCUGGCCUGUACGUUCAGAACCAGAUGCAGGAAUCGGACAAGGCUUUUCAGCUGCCACCAACUGCAGUGACAGCAAGAGCUGGGGAGUGGACAGGAGGACACAGAAAGCUGAGCCAGAAAUGAUUUAGGUUCUGGGACACAACCUCCAUCAGUUACACUCGGCUUUCCCCACUUCCCUCUCAUAUGGUGCGACACACAUGAAGUUAAUGACAAAUCAAGAAUAGAUCAGACUGAAAACACCUGGUAUUUUGACAGACAGCCCAGGGAUGCUUUGACAUCGUACUUAAGACUGACUGCUUUUCUAAUGGCACAGAAGUAUGACUUCAGUUAUGCAUUAAGUAGGAAAACUUCUACUGAAACUUGUGGAGUCUGGUUCUUUCUUCAGAAACAACAACACAGAGUGAAACCGCCUUUGAAGAGAAACAUUUUUCGUAUACCAUCUGAAGGAUGGAGGGACCUGGCAAUUAAAACAUGAUGAAGGGUGAUGGUUACUGGUUUAGAGUGGUAACACUAGUUAACUGGCUCUGAUGGAUUUAUGAUGAUAACACACGGUGCCAAGGUGAUUGAUAAGCAGAGUUCACCUUUGUGAGGUGAUGGUCAGAUACCUUGUGAGGCUCUGAUGCAAAGCUGGCUGUACCCCAGGAAGGAAGCAGUGCUUUUUGGUAUCUGUGCAGCAAUUCCUCGUGCAGAACACGGCUCGGGUGCUGGGAACUGUAGAACUCCAAAUUAGUUACCAUUUUAAAACUACCAAUACUUGUCCUGUUUUCACGAGAGAUGUGAUGCAGAAGCACCACUCCAGACAGGCAGGAUUUUCUGCUGCAAAGCUCAGCCCCAAAUUCUCUGAAGCCAAAUGUGAACCCAUUGACAGGAGUGUCUCAGAAGCACAAGCAUUAAAAGUUCUAAGGCAGUGAGGAUGCCCUGGCAGCAGAAUACCACCUUCUCUCACCGGAACUCGGAGCGACAGAAAAUCCUACACUGCACUCAUAGGGUGAGCACAAGAACAUGGGGGGAUGGAGGGUAGGAAGGGUACAAAGAUGGGAAAGGCAACCCAAACAUUCCCAGUUUUCAGAGAUAUAAAGUAAUUUUGUUUGCUUUCAGUUCAAUCAGUUCGUUCAUGCCUUAGGAAACAACGAGAUCAACAGAAAUGAAAGCAAUUUCCAGCAGAUAUGAAUAAAACACGUGGCUCAGCCGAGAAGAGGUUGUACAUUACUCCACACGCUCAGUCAAAUACUUGUGGAUUAAAUGCUGUGAGAAUGGAUCUAGCAUGGGAUUGUUUCAUCUCAAUUUGCCAGACUAGGAAUUUGCAGGUUUCCCACUCAUUCUUCAGGAGGGAGUUAUUGGGGAACAGGUUGUACAGUUGUGGAGGACUUGCAAAAUAAUUUGAUUCAUUUAGACACAAUCCAAAGUCAGAGCAGGGUACCUCGCAAGCAGAACUUCUACAAAAGAUCUACUGCUACAUGUUACUCUCCUUUCUUUAACUUUUUUUUUUUUUGUUUAAACUAGCCUUCAGGCAAAAUUCACAAAAAAUAUCACGUUCUCAGCCUGUUUCCAGGGUCGAGCCUGUGCACGUACUGAGGUGUGCAAAGGCACACAAGCUCUCCUCAUUCAUUCUGACCCGGUGGGAAUGCAAGAAGAGACACUGCUGUUCUGCUUAAAUGACUGGAAGCUUCUCUAAAAGCAAAAGCAGGCUGUUUCUAAUAACAAGUCAUCAAAGAUCUGCCUUUCUCCACCAGUGAUGUCAAUACAACAAUCUCUCACCAUCAAGAGAAACGUGAGUCAGGGCUCUCAUUAGAAUAGUUUCAUUAAACCCUCUUUAUUGUCCCAGAAGAUUCAGGAAAAGAAACAUUUCUUUCAUUGCUCAGCUACAACCAACUGUGACAUGACUGAUAAUUGACCUUGACAUUUGAGAACUUCAGAAGACAGCAAAUUACUAAGAAGACCUCUAAGUCAGGCAGGUGAAGAGAAGUCAAAUAGUGAAUAGCAAGAAGAGCAACACAGCCAACACUAUGUAAAUCAGGAAUUGUAUUUAAGCCAACAUAUUGCAUUAUGCAUGAAAAGGUCUGGGCUCAUCCACCUGACAUUCGGCAAGACAAGAAAUGGUUGAAAUUAGCACCUAUGCUGCCUUCAGAGGAGGAGUGGGCACCUGAGGGUCCCAUGGUCUUCACGGGCCACUGCACCCCCAGGUACAACAGUUGGGGUGCUUGGAAUUGCAUAGGAUGACCUUGGGCCAGUCUGGUUAGAUGUAGACACAGUGUGACAUCCGGGACAGUGUGACAUCUUUUGAAAGACAGAAUACAAUGUGCAAAAUUUUGCAACACGGAACUUACUGAACUAUGACAAAAAUGUCUACCAGCUCUCUCUUGGGAUUAAUUAAAAACAGAUGCUGGCUAGCCAAUGGCUGGGAUAACAAACUGCCUUUUGUUGUUGUCAGGCGGUUGGAGGGUACAACGAAUUCAAAUUAAAUGGCUUAGUUUAUGUGUGUGUGCUUUAAGAGAACUAACCUCUCACUGACUGCACUGAACUCAAGCAAAACUGCAGGGGAACGACUUGAGCUGCAAAUCCCUCUGGCCCAGGACCCAUCUCCAUCAGUCACCAGUGGUGGGUCCCACGGAAAGCGCAAAAUAACAGGUUCAGCAUACAUUGAUACUUCCCCAAACUCUUCUGCCAUUCUGGAUUUCUAUAACCAUGCUACUUUUAUAGGCCACUCUUAAAAGUCUAAAAGUAACUAAUAGUUAUUAUAUGUAUACUACAGACACGAGUGUCAUGCAUUAGACAUCGUCCUAAAUACAACAAAAGAAAGCUUUAGAAAUGAUGACAAGUCACGGCGAUAAUUGCUUUUUGAAGCUGUUGGGCUGUAUAAAAAUUGGGUCACUGAUGAACAAAUAUAUCACUGCUAACACUAAUAUAUUAACCUUUAAUUUAUAACUGGAACUCAAUAUGGAGUGUAGCCAAUUUGAUCUGCAAAAGGAGCUGUGAAUCUUACAAGGAAUGACUGAUAUUCUACAUCGCCAUUUCCCGAGCUCAGGUUCACAGGUUACUGACAGCCUGUGCAGCCCUUGCUGGAAACCUUAUCUGGUCCAUAGAGGCAUAAAGCCCACUGGGUAUUUUUAAUUUAAUGCUCUGUGAUAAGGCUGCAUGCUGCCCCUAAGAAAUUAUGAGAACUAACAGGUGGAUGCUGGCCCAAAAGACUGGGAAGCAGGAGUUCUGGAUUUAUACUGAGCCUACAUUCACUGUGUAACAUCUUGGCAAUUCAAAAUAAGAAUUAACCUGAAGUUUUGGUGAAAAAAAUGUUAACUUUGUUUCUACACAAAUCUUAUUCCAGGAGAAGUAAAAUAACAGAAAUACUUAACAUUUUUAAACCUGUGUAUUUUUUUGGUACAACAAUAAAAUAGCAUUCCUUUACGUUACAUAACUUAAGUGUCUGCCUAUCUUGUGAAUACACACACAGAGCAUUCUCAGGGCAGGGGGAAUCUCCUGUGAAUUAUUUGCUGCUUAUUUUA
Columba livia (rock pigeon) is the source of this 13112-nucleotide long non-coding RNA. RefSeq lists it as uncharacterized. The record is from RefSeq and is a predicted model, not a curated record. The transcript has 32 exons. Lineage: Eukaryota; Metazoa; Chordata; Aves; Columbiformes; Columbidae.